This 478-nucleotide ribosomal RNA is filed under the name uncultured bacterium. RNAcentral describes it as "SSU rRNA". It matches the Rfam family "Bacterial small subunit ribosomal RNA", at positions 26 to 518 of the family's 1533-position model. The record is from RNAcentral.
AGGACGAACGCUGGCGGCGUGCUUAACACAUGCAAGUCGAGCGAGGCCUUCCCUUCGGGGGAGUGCCCUAGCGGCGAACGGGUGAGUAACACGUGGGCAACCUGCCCCUAGCACUGGGAUAACUCCGGGAAACCGGGGCUAAUACCGGAUAUGACCUUUGAGGGCAUCCUCUUUGGUGUAAAGGAUUCUGGCUAGGGAUGGGCCCGCGGCCUAUCAGCUUGUUGGUGGGGUAAUGGCCUACCAAGGCGACGACGGGUAGCCGGCCUGAGAGGGCGACCGGCCACACUGGGACUGAGACACGGCCCAGACUCCUACGGGAGGCAGCAGUGGGGAAUAUUGCACAAUGGGCGAAAGCCUGAUGCAGCGACGCCGCGUGAGGGAUGACGGCCUUCGGGUUGUAAACCUCUUUCAGUACCGACGAAGCGAAAGUGACGGUAGGUACAGAAGAAGCACCGGCCAACUACGCGCCAGCAGCCGC